RNAcentral lists this small RNA (260 nucleotides) under Jaculus jaculus (lesser Egyptian jerboa). RNAcentral's name for it is "7SK RNA (ENSJJAG00000002011.1)". It matches the Rfam family "7SK RNA", at positions 12 to 286 of the family's 331-position model. From Rfam's summary of the family: 7SK was discovered as an abundant small nuclear RNA in the mid-70s but a possible function has only recently been suggested. The record is from RNAcentral. Lineage: Eukaryota; Metazoa; Chordata; Mammalia; Rodentia; Dipodidae.
AGAAGUGGACAUUGAACUUUCUCAAAUGCCAGGGUUGAUUCGGCUGACCUGGCUGGCUAGGUGGGUGUUCCCUUCCUCCCUCACCACUCCAUGUGCGUCCCUCCUGAAGCUACGCACUCAGUCGAAGAGGAUGAUCUUCCUGGAAUAGAGGAGGACCGGUCUUCGAUCAGGGUAUAUGAGUAGCUGCGCUCCCCUGCUAGAACCUCCAAACAAGCUCUCAAAUGCCUUUCUGGCAGUUAUCCAAAUCAUCUUCAUUGUUU